Molecule: long non-coding RNA, 331 nt
Organism: Nylanderia fulva
Lineage: Eukaryota; Metazoa; Arthropoda; Insecta; Hymenoptera; Formicidae
Source: RefSeq, a predicted model, not a curated record
AUAUGUUGUCGUUGUCUCGUAGGACGAUACGACUUUCUCUUUAGAAAAACGGUCCCUCAAACCGCGAGAUGGAAAACUGGUCAUGCUCUAAAUGCAGCCACGUAAAUACAUAUAAGCUUCUCCUCUCCUUAAUUCGGAGAUUCAGUCAGCUAUUCUACGACGAUCACGAUGAGAUUAUUGUGUACGCUAUUUAUACUCAGUCUGCUUCAAAUAGUGAUGUUUACUGCGAUGAUAAAUUGCGAUGAAUCAAGAAGCGUUAUACGUCACAAAAUUGGAAAAAAAGAUGAUGUUGAACGGGUCAAAAUAAAAGUUUUCCGUGGCCCUAUGCAAG